This 759-nucleotide long non-coding RNA is filed under the name Equus caballus (horse). Its description in RNAcentral is "lncRNA (ENSECAG00000047155.1)". Lineage: Eukaryota; Metazoa; Chordata; Mammalia; Perissodactyla; Equidae. The record is from RNAcentral.
CCUGAGGAAAAAAUAGAGAAAUAUAGAACCCAGAGAUGGGACAGUGGCGUUAUAUCAUCAUUUGAGCUCCUGGAUCAAGCUGUGACUGAAGCUGUUUUUACCCCUUGACCUUUUUUAAACAAGAUCCAGUACAUUUCCCUAAGCCAGUUAAAGCAGAGAGACUCCUGAUUAAUUCACUGUCUCUCUCCAAGCCUCCCUGGGAACUGGUCCUGACACUUUCCACUGCCCUUAGUCCUUGGGAAUGGAUCCCCACACCCCCUAAAGCCCCCAUUCGCCAUACACUGCCCCUGUAGAGGCCUGGACUGCUUGUGUGCAUCCGGUCUCCCUCACUGGGCAGGCAGUCCUCUGGGGGCUCUGGGUCUGCUCAUCUCCGUGUCCCCAGGCACAGACCGGGAUGGGAACCUGGGCGCCGAGGCUGCCUUCCCCGGCAGGGCCACAUUCCACAGUCAUCACCGGCUGAUGACCCAAGUGUCUGGCCGCUCUGGGAAGCCUCCCCCUGGAUGUCCCCCAGGAUUUCACCCUGACCUCAACAGCUUCCUUCCUGUGCCUCUUCCUCCCGGAUCCCCAGCUCAGGCACGGUCCCAUCACUGACUCUUGUCUCCUGAACCAGAGGCCUGGGCCUCCUCCUGGAUGCCUUCUUCCCCUCCCCUCCCAUAGCCCAUCCCUCUUCUCAUUCUAUCUUUUAAAGAUUUCGUAUGUUGUCCCUCUUCCCUCUCCCUGCUUGAUGCCUUGAGACCCUCCUGGUCUCCUGCCCCAGCC